This 347-nucleotide ribosomal RNA is filed under the name Polistes nimpha. Its description in RNAcentral is "partial 12S ribosomal RNA". The record is from RNAcentral. Lineage: Eukaryota; Metazoa; Arthropoda; Insecta; Hymenoptera; Vespidae.
AUUAAUUAAAUUAAAUUUAGGUAUAAAGAUAUUAAAUGAUAAAUCAUUAAAUUUAAAAGAUUUGGCGGUAUUUUAUAAAAUUAGAGGAAUCUGUAAAGUAAUUGAUAGUCCACGAUAAGAUAAACUUAAGUAAAAAUUUAUGUAUUGCUGUUUAAAAAAUUUAAUUAAGUAUAAAUUUUAUAUUUAAUAUUUUAAUAAAAUUCAAGUCAAAAUAUAGUUUAAUUAAGAAAGUUAUGGAUUACAAUUUUUAUAAAAAAUAAUGGAUAAUUUGAUUUAAAAAAAUUUGAAAUUGGAUUUAAAAGUAAAUUUAAUAAAUUAAUUAAAUUGAAUAAUUUUAUAAAAUGUGU